This 337-nucleotide ribosomal RNA is filed under the name uncultured bacterium. RNAcentral's name for it is "bacterial SSU rRNA". It matches the Rfam family "Bacterial small subunit ribosomal RNA", at positions 568 to 898 of the family's 1533-position model. The record is from RNAcentral.
UGCGUAGGCGGUUUGGUAAGUCUUGUGUGAAAUCUUCGGGCUCAACUCGAAGUCUGCACGAGAAACUGCCGGGCUUGAGUAUGGGAGAGGUGAGUGGAAUUCCGGUUCCCCCGUAGCGGUGAAAUGCGUAGAUAUCGGGAGGAACACCUGUGGCGAAAGCGGCUCACUGGACCAUAACUGACGCUGAGGCACGAAAGCUAGGGGAGCAAACAGGAUUAGAUACCCUGGUAGUCCUAGCCCUAAACGAUGAUCGCUUGGUGUGACGGGUACCCAAUCCCGCCGUGCCGAAGCUAACGCGUUAAGCGAUCCGCCUGGGGAGUACGGUCGCAAGGCUGAA